GACGAAGGUGGCGACCGUUGUUCGGAAUCACUGGGCAUAAAGAGCUCGUAGGCGGUGAGAAAAGUCGGGUGUGAAAUCCCUCGGCUCAACUGAGGAACUGCACGGGAAACUGCCUGGCUUGAGUUCGGGAGAGGGAAGCGGAAUUCCGGGUGUAGCGGUGAAAUGCGCAGAUAUCAGGAGGAACACCUAUUGCGAAGGCAGCUCGCUGGGACGUAACUGACGCUGAGACGCGAAAGCGUGGGGAGCAAACAGG
RNAcentral lists this ribosomal RNA (253 nucleotides) under uncultured bacterium. RNAcentral describes it as "partial 16S ribosomal RNA". It matches the Rfam family "Bacterial small subunit ribosomal RNA", at positions 524 to 776 of the family's 1533-position model. The record is from RNAcentral.